CAGUGGUGGAAUAUUGGACAAUGGGCGCAAGCCUGAUCAGCCAUGCCGCGUGAGUGAUGAAGGCCUUCGGGUUGUAAAGCUCUUUGUUCCGGGAUGAAAAUGUCUGUACCGGGAGAAUAAGCCCCGGCCCGCUCCGUGCCAGCACCCGCUGGUAAUU
Molecule: ribosomal RNA, 157 nt
Filed under: uncultured bacterium
Lineage: Bacteria
Description: partial 16S ribosomal RNA
Rfam family: Bacterial small subunit ribosomal RNA
Source: RNAcentral